CCUACGGGAGGCAGCAGUGGGGGAUCUUGGACAAUGGGGGGAACCCUGAUCCAGCGACGCCGCGUGAGUGAAGAAGUAUUUCGGUAUGUAAAGCUCUGUCAGCAGGGAAGAAAGAAAUGACGGUACCUGAACAAGAAGCCCCGGCUAACUACGUGCCAGCAGCCGCGGUAAUACGUAGGGGGCAAGCGUUAUCCGGAAUUACUGGGUGUAAAGGGAGCGUAGACGGUUAAGUAAGUCUGGAGUGAAAGGCCGGGGCCCACCCCCGGGACUGCUCUGGAAACUAUUGAACUUGAGUGCAGGAGAGGUAAGCGGAAUUUCUAGUGUAGCGGUGAAAUGCGUAGAUAUUAGGAGGAACACCAGUGGCGAAGGCGGCUUACUGGACUGUAACUGACGUUGAGGCUCGAAAGCGUGGGGAGCAAACAGGAUUAGAUACCCUUGUAGUC
Molecule: ribosomal RNA, 443 nt
Filed under: uncultured bacterium
Lineage: Bacteria
Description: partial 16S ribosomal RNA
Rfam family: Bacterial small subunit ribosomal RNA
Source: RNAcentral